GAUGAACGCUGGCGGCGUGCCUAAUACAUGCAAGUCGAGCGAACAGACGAGGAGCUUGCUCCUCUGACGUUAGCGGCGGACGGGUGAGUAACACGUGGAUAACCUACCUAUAAGACUGGGAUAACUUCGGGAAACCGGAGCUAAUACCGGAUAAUAUAUUGAACCGCAUGGUUCAUUAGUGAAAGACGGUUUUGCUGUCACUUAUAGAUGGAUCCGCGCCGCAUUAGCUAGUUGGUAAGGUAACGGCUUACCAAGGCGACGAUGCGUAGCCGACCUGAGAGGGUGAUCGGCCACAUUGGAACUGAGACACGGUCCAGACUCCUACGGGAGGCAGCAGUAGGGAAUCGUCCGCAAUGGGCGAAAGCCUGACGGAGCAACGCCGCGUGAGUGAUGAAGGUCUUCGGAUCGUAAAACUCUGUUAUUAGGGAAGAACAAAUGUGUAAGUAACUAUGCACGUCUUGACGGUACCUAAUCAGAAAGCCACGGCUAACUACGUG
RNAcentral lists this ribosomal RNA (497 nucleotides) under uncultured bacterium. Its description in RNAcentral is "partial 16S ribosomal RNA". It matches the Rfam family "Bacterial small subunit ribosomal RNA", at positions 28 to 507 of the family's 1533-position model. The record is from RNAcentral.